Bos taurus (domestic cattle) is the source of this 291-nucleotide long non-coding RNA. Lineage: Eukaryota; Metazoa; Chordata; Mammalia; Artiodactyla; Bovidae. The record is from Ensembl.
UAAGGCGUAGGAGCCUCGGGGAGGGUGAGCCAAGAGGGACGUGGCGCUCUGCGGCGCGGACUAGGAAGCCGCGCCCCUUCCUUCUCGGGCUUUCAUGGAGAAUCCUGUGGAGCAGGAUUUGGGUGAAAAGCUCAAAAUGAGUUUACUGGAGGCCAGGAGAAAAUGAAAGGGAAACAAUUCCAGAGAACCAGCUGAUGUGAAGCCUACCCCCAUACUUUGGGUCCUCCAGGAAAAAAUAAAAACAAAAAGGUGUCAGGGGGAUUCUGGCUUUUCAAUACUUCUACUUUCCCC